AACGAACGCUGGCGGCGUGCCUCAUACAUGCAAGUCGAACGCGAGGCUCCCCGCAAGGGGAGUAGUAGAGUGGCAAACGGGUGCGUAACACGUAGGUAAUCUGCCUUCGAGUUGGGGAUAAACCCUCGAAAGGGGGUCUAAUACCGAAUAACAUUUCGGGCCGGCAUCGGCUUAGAAAUUAAAGAUGGCCUCUGCUUGCAAGCUAUCACUCGAAGAUGAGCCUGCGUCCGAUUAGUUAGUUGGCGGGAUAAAAGCCCACCAAGACUCCGAUCGGUAGCCGGCCUGAGAGGGUGUCCGGCCACACUGGGACUGAGAUACGGCCCAGACUCCUACGGGAGGCAGCAGUAGGGAAUAUUGC
RNAcentral lists this ribosomal RNA (358 nucleotides) under uncultured bacterium. RNAcentral's name for it is "bacterial SSU rRNA". It matches the Rfam family "Bacterial small subunit ribosomal RNA", at positions 29 to 367 of the family's 1533-position model. The record is from RNAcentral.